UUUAAGUCAGGAUGUCGUGCCUCUUGGAGAGGAACUUGCAGCUGGUGAUAUUUCCGUGAAUAUGCCACCCUUGCUCUUUAGGUAGAACGCACUGUUGAAGUAAGCUUGGCGGAUUUCUCCUGUGCAUUGGUGUUGAAGAGAUUGAAUGUUGUUCUAGUUAGGAAACUAAUGAAGUGGCUUGCUUUGUCUCAAGCUUCUGGAGUGCACCAUACCAUCACGUUCGUGACUUGUACUUGUAGGUAGUGGACAGACUUUGGAGAGUCAGAAUGACAGAUGCAAGAAUAUCGAAUUUCACAGAGAAAAAUGCACAUUUCGUGAGAAAAGUGCAGAUUCGUUGAAAAGUUGACUCUGGUUGAGUGUUACCAUGCAGGCAGGGUGUCUUGGAUCUUGACUCUGCAACCCCUCCCAAGCUUGAUUGAAGAAGAUUCUAUCGUGACCUACUCAGAGUGCGGGCUCUUUCGUGAAGGCUACUGACGGGAAUAGACUCCCUCCAACAUUUGCAUUUUUGUAAGCCAUUUCUUUUAGUUUUAUAUUGUCCCUUAUCUAUUGAGUUGCCCAUGGCUGUUUCUUUUGUGC
Molecule: long non-coding RNA, 576 nt
Organism: Rhincodon typus (whale shark)
Lineage: Eukaryota; Metazoa; Chordata; Chondrichthyes; Orectolobiformes; Rhincodontidae
Exons: 3
Source: RefSeq, a predicted model, not a curated record